GAUGAACGCUGGCGGCGUGCCUAAUACAUGCAAGUCGAGCGAACAGAUGAGGAGCUUGCUCCUCUGACGUUAGCGGCGGACGGGUGAGUAACACGUGGAUAACCUACCUAUAAGACUGGGAUAACUUCGGGAAACCGGAGCUAAUACCGGAUAAUAAAUUGAACCGCAUGGUUCAAUAGUGAAAGACGGUUUUGCUGUCACUUAUAGAUGGAUCCGCGCCGCAUUAGCUAGUUGGUAAGGUAACGGCUUACCGAGGCGACGAUGCGUAGCCGACCUGAGAGGGUGAUCGGCCACACUGGAACUGAGACACGGUCCAGACUCCUACGGGAGGCAGCAGUAGGGAAUCUUCCGCAAUGGGCGAAAGCCUGACGGAGCAACGCCGCGUGAGUGAUGAAGGUCUUCGGAUCGUAAAACUCUGUUAUUAGGGAAGAACAAAUGUGUAAGUAACUAUGCACGUCUUGACGGUACCUAAUCAGAAAGCCACGGCUAACUACGUG
This 497-nucleotide ribosomal RNA is filed under the name uncultured bacterium. RNAcentral's name for it is "partial 16S ribosomal RNA". It matches the Rfam family "Bacterial small subunit ribosomal RNA", at positions 28 to 507 of the family's 1533-position model. The record is from RNAcentral.